RNAcentral lists this unclassified non-coding RNA (220 nucleotides) under Hevea brasiliensis (rubber tree). Lineage: Eukaryota; Viridiplantae; Streptophyta; Magnoliopsida; Malpighiales; Euphorbiaceae. The record is from RNAcentral.
AUCCAACCACCUUGAGGUUGACAUUUUUCUUUUUCUUAGAUUUUCUACGUGUUUACAUGAAAUAACAGAGGGAAAUAUGCAUCAAGAGUCCAAGCUGCGUGUUAGAUUGGUCAUUUAGAUUAUACAUAUCGUUUAGCUGUUCAAUGUUUUGACUGUUUCAAAGAAUGGAAAUGGUCUAUAUAUACAUAUAGCCCAAAAGAAUAUAUGAAUAUAAGUGAAA